AGUGAACGCUGGCGGUAGGCCUAACACAUGCAAGUCGAACGGCAGCACAGUAAGAGCUUGCUCUUACGGGUGGCGAGUGGCGGACGGGUGAGGAAUACAUCGGAAUCUACUUUUUCGUGGGGGAUAACGUAGGGAAACUUACGCUAAUACCGCAUACGACCUACGGGUGAAAGCAGGGGAUCUUCGGACCUUGCGCGAUUGAAUGAGCCGAUGUCGGAUUAGCUAGUUGGCGGGGUAAAGGCCCACCAAGGCGACGAUCCGUAGCUGGUCUGAGAGGAUGAUCAGCCACACUGGAACUGAGACACGGUCCAGACUCCUACGGGAGGCAGCAGUGGGGAAUAUUGGACAAUGGGCGCAAGCCUGAUCCAGCCAUACCGCGUGGGUGAAGAAGGCCUUCGGGUCGUAAAGCCCUUUUGUUGGGAAAGAAAAGCAGCAGGUUAAUACCCCGCUGUUCCGACGGUACCCAAAGAAUAAGCACCGGCUAACUUCGUG
This 492-nucleotide ribosomal RNA is filed under the name uncultured bacterium. RNAcentral's name for it is "partial 16S ribosomal RNA". It matches the Rfam family "Bacterial small subunit ribosomal RNA", at positions 29 to 507 of the family's 1533-position model. The record is from RNAcentral.